UGGGGAAUAUUGGACAAUGGGGGAAACCCUGAUCCAGCAAUGCCGCGUGAGUGAUGAAGGCCUUAGGGUUGUAAAGCUCUUUUACCAGGGAUGAUAAUGACAGA
RNAcentral lists this ribosomal RNA (104 nucleotides) under uncultured bacterium. RNAcentral's name for it is "partial 16S ribosomal RNA". It matches the Rfam family "Bacterial small subunit ribosomal RNA", at positions 355 to 458 of the family's 1533-position model. The record is from RNAcentral.